GCCAGGUGCACACCUGUGGUCCCAGCCACUGGGGAGCCUGAGACAGGAGAAUUGCUUGAGUCCAGGAGUUCUGGACUGUGGUAUGCCAUGCCGACCAGGUGUCUGCACUAAGUUCAGCAUCAAUAUGGUGACCUCCCCGGAGCAGGGGACCACCAGGUGGCCUAAGGAGGGGUGAUCCAGCCCAGGUUCACCUUGUUUCAAAACAAAACCAAAAGAAAAAACCUGGCAUUGUGGUACAUGCCCUUGAUCCCAGCAUUCAGAAGACAGAUCUCUGUGAGUUCCAGCCCAUCCAGGGCAACAUAGUUAGAUCCUGCCUCUA
RNAcentral lists this signal recognition particle RNA (319 nucleotides) under Neotoma lepida (desert woodrat). RNAcentral describes it as "Metazoan signal recognition particle RNA". It matches the Rfam family "Metazoan signal recognition particle RNA". Rfam says of the family: The signal recognition particle (SRP) is a universally conserved ribonucleoprotein. It is involved in the co-translational targeting of proteins to membranes. The eukaryotic SRP consists of a 300-nucleotide 7S RNA and six proteins: SRPs 72, 68, 54, 19, 14, and 9. The record is from Rfam by way of RNAcentral. Lineage: Eukaryota; Metazoa; Chordata; Mammalia; Rodentia; Cricetidae.